GCGGGUGCGCCGACGCGGGAGGGUCGGGAGUGGCUGUAAACCACUUGCUAACGCCUAGGGGGUUCGAAUCCCUCCACCCGCACC
This 84-nucleotide transfer RNA is filed under the name Actinoplanes sp. NBRC 103695. RNAcentral's name for it is "tRNA-Tyr". The stretch from base 15 to 82 matches the Rfam family "tRNA". From Rfam's summary of the family: Transfer RNA (tRNA) molecules are approximately 80 nucleotides in length. Their secondary structure includes four short double-helical elements and three loops (D, anti-codon, and T loops). Further hydrogen bonds mediate the characteristic L-shaped molecular structure. tRNAs have two regions of fundamental functional importance: the anti-codon, which is responsible for specific mRNA codon recognition, and the 3' end, to which the tRNAs corresponding amino acid is attached (by aminoacyl-tRNA synthetases). tRNAs cope with the degeneracy of the genetic code in two manners: having more than one tRNA (with a specific anti-codon) for a particular amino acid; and 'wobble' base-pairing, i.e. permitting non-standard base-pairing at the 3rd anti-codon position. The record is from RNAcentral. Lineage: Bacteria; Bacillati; Actinomycetota; Actinomycetes; Micromonosporales; Micromonosporaceae.